This 223-nucleotide ribosomal RNA is filed under the name Pseudomonas sp. 102515. RNAcentral describes it as "partial 23S ribosomal RNA". It matches the Rfam family "Bacterial large subunit ribosomal RNA", at positions 2126 to 2348 of the family's 2925-position model. Lineage: Bacteria; Pseudomonadati; Pseudomonadota; Gammaproteobacteria; Pseudomonadales; Pseudomonadaceae. The record is from RNAcentral.
GAGCUUGCUUGUGUAGGAUAGGUGGGAGGCUUUGAAGCGUGGACGCCAGUCUGCGUGGAGCCAUCCUUGAAAUACCACCCUGGCAAUCUUGAGGUUCUAACUCUGGUCCGUUAUCCGGAUCGAGGACAGUGUAUGGUGGGCAGUUUGACUGGGGCGGUCUCCUCCUAAAGAGUAACGGAGGAGUACGAAGGUGCGCUCAGACCGGUCGGAAAUCGGUCGUAGA